This 497-nucleotide ribosomal RNA is filed under the name uncultured bacterium. RNAcentral's name for it is "partial 16S ribosomal RNA". It matches the Rfam family "Bacterial small subunit ribosomal RNA", at positions 28 to 507 of the family's 1533-position model. The record is from RNAcentral.
GAUGAACGCUGGCGGCGUGCCUAAUACAUGCUAGUCGAGCGAACAGACGAGGAGCUUGCUCCUCUGACGUUAGCGGCGGACGGGUGAGUAACACGUGGAUAACCUACCUAUAAGACUGGGAUAACUUCGGGAAACCGGAGCUAAUACCGGAUAACAUGUUGAACCGCAUGGUUCAACAGUGAAAGACGGUCUUGCUGUCACUUAUAGAUGGAUCCGCGCCGCAUUAGCUAGUUGGUAAGGUAACGGCUUACCAAGGCAACGAUGCGUAGCCGACCUGAGAGGGUGAUCGGCCACACUGGAACUGAGACACGGUCCAGACUCCUACGGGAGGCAGCAGUAGGGAAUCUUCCGCAAUGGGCGAAAGCCUGACGGAGCAACGCCGCGUGAGUGAAGAAGGUCUUCGGAUCGUAAAACUCUGUUAUUAGGGAAGAACAAAUGUGUAAGUAACUAUGCACGUCUUGACGGUACCUAAUCAGAAAGCCACGGCUAACUACGUG